GACGAACGCUGGCGGCGUGCUUAACACAUGCAAGUCGAGCGGUAAGGCCCUUUCGGGGGUACGACGAGCGGCGAACGGGUGAGUAACACGUGGGUGACCUGCCCUCAGCUCUGGGAUAAGCCUGGGAAACGUGGGUCGUAAUACCGGAUAUGACUCCACGGCGUAUGUUGUGGGGUGGAAAGCCUUGUGUGGCUAGAGAUGGGCCCGCGGCCUAUCAGCUUGUUGGUGGGGUGAGGCCUACCAAGGCGACGACGGGUAGCCGGCCUGAGAGGGCGACCGGCCACACUGGGACUGAGACGCGGCCCAGACUCCUACGGGAGGCAGCAGUGGGGAAUCUUGCGCAAUGGGCGAAAGCCUGACGCAGCGACGCCGCGUGAGGGAUGACGGCCUGG
This 392-nucleotide ribosomal RNA is filed under the name uncultured bacterium. RNAcentral's name for it is "bacterial SSU rRNA". It matches the Rfam family "Bacterial small subunit ribosomal RNA", at positions 28 to 419 of the family's 1533-position model. The record is from RNAcentral.